UAGUCCACGCUGUAAACGAUGUUCACUCGCUGUUGGCGAUAUACUGUCAGCGGCCAAGCGAAAGCAUUAAGUGAACCACCUGGGGAGUACGAUCGCAAGGUUGAAACUCAAAGGAAUUGACGGGGGGCCCGCACAAGCGGUGGAGCAUGUGGAUUAAUUCGAUGAUACGCGAGGAACCUUACCAGGGCUUAAAUGGUCGUUGACCGUCGCCGAAAGGUGUCUUUCUUUUAGACAAUGAUCAAGGUGCUGCAUGGCUGUCGUCAGCUCGUGCCGUGAGGUGUUGGGUUAAGUCCCGGCAACGAGCGCAACCCCUUUCNCUAGUUGCCAGCAUGUAAUGGUGGGGACUCUAGAGAUACUGCCUACGUAAGUAGUGAGGAGGUAGGGGACGACGUCAAGGUCAUCAUGGGCCCUUACGUCCUGGGGGCUUCACACGUGCUACAAUGGGAUGGGUACAAUGAGCAGCCACUUAGC
This 471-nucleotide ribosomal RNA is filed under the name uncultured bacterium. Its description in RNAcentral is "bacterial SSU rRNA". It matches the Rfam family "Bacterial small subunit ribosomal RNA", at positions 791 to 1258 of the family's 1533-position model. The record is from RNAcentral.